RNAcentral lists this ribosomal RNA (205 nucleotides) under uncultured bacterium. Its description in RNAcentral is "partial 16S ribosomal RNA". It matches the Rfam family "Bacterial small subunit ribosomal RNA", at positions 524 to 729 of the family's 1533-position model. The record is from RNAcentral.
UACGGAGGGUGCAAGCGUUAUCCGGAUUCACUGGGUUUAAAGGGUGCGUAGGUGGGUUGUGAAGUCAGUGGUGAAAUCUCCAAGCUUAACUUGGAACUGCCGUUGAUACUAUAAUCUUGAAUGUCGUGGAGGUGAGCGGAAUAUGUCAUGUAGCGGUGAAAUGCUUAGAUAUGACAUAGAACACCAAUUGCGAAGGCAGCUACAC